UUUCCGGUUGAUCCCGCCGGACCCGACUGCUAUCAGAGUGGGAUUAAGCCAUGCGAGUCAACGUAGCAAUACGUGGCAUACGGCACAGUAACACGUAGUCAACAUGCCCAGGGGACGUGGAUAGCCUCGGGAAACUGAGGCUAAACCGCGAUAGGCCAAGAUUUCUGGAAUGGAUCAUGGCUUAAAUCUAUAUGGCCCCUGGAUUGGACUGCGGCCGAUCAGGCUGUUGGUGAGGUAAUGGCCCACCAAACCUGUAACCGGUACGGGCUUUGAGAGAAGGAGCCCGGAGAUGGGCACUGAGACAAGGGCCCAGGCCCUAUGGGGCGCAGCAGGCGCGAAAAUUCUGCAAUAGGCGAAAGCUUGACAGAGUUACUCUGAGUGAUGCCCGUUAAGGGCAUCUUUUGGCACCUCUAAAAAUGGUGCAGAAUAAGGGGUGGGCAAGUCUGGUGUCAGCCGCCGCGGUAAUACCAGCACCCCGAGUGGUCGGGACGAUUAUUGGGCCUAAAGCAUCCGUAGCUUGUCCUGCAAGUCCUCCGUUAAAUCCACCUGCUCAACAGAUGGGCUGCGGGGGAUACUACAGGGCUAGGAGGCGGGAGAGGCAAACGGUACUCAGUGGGUAGGGGUAAAAUCCGUUGAUCCACUGAAGACCACCAGUGGCGAAGGCGGCUUGCCAGAACGCGCUCGACGGUGAGGGAUGAAAGCUGGGGGAGCAAACCGGAUUAGAUACCCGGGUAGUCCCAGCUGUAAACGAUGCAGACUCGGUGAUGAAUAGGCUUCGUGCAUAUUCAGUGCCGCAGGGAAGCCGUUAAGUCUGCCGCCUGGGGAGUACGGUCGCAAGACUGAAACUUAAAGGAAUUGGCGGGGGAGCACCACAAGGGGUGAAGCCUGCGGUUCAAUUGGAUUCAACGCCGGA
Molecule: ribosomal RNA, 913 nt
Filed under: uncultured crenarchaeote
Lineage: Archaea; Thermoproteati; Thermoproteota
Description: bacterial SSU rRNA
Rfam family: Archaeal small subunit ribosomal RNA
Source: RNAcentral